Triticum aestivum (bread wheat) is the source of this 114-nucleotide non-coding RNA. The record is from Rfam. NCBI's taxonomy places the organism in Eukaryota, Viridiplantae, Streptophyta, Magnoliopsida, Poales, Poaceae.
GUCCUUUUAGGUUCUGACUGGUAGAACAGAGGACUGAAAAUCCUUUUUAGUUUCACACAUGGGACUCUAAAUCCCAAUUGCGCUAGCUCUAUGGUUCGAUUCCACAACAGAACA